This 383-nucleotide ribosomal RNA is filed under the name uncultured eukaryote. RNAcentral's name for it is "partial 18S ribosomal RNA". It matches the Rfam family "Eukaryotic small subunit ribosomal RNA", at positions 592 to 976 of the family's 1831-position model. The record is from RNAcentral.
CAAUAGCGUAUAUUAAAGUUGUUGCAGUUAAAAAGCUCGUAGUUGGAUUUCUGGUGGGAGCGAUCGGUCUGGCGCUUAGCGCGAGUACUUGCAUCGUCUCCGGCCAUCCUUGGGGAGAGUCUGUCUGGCAUUGAGUUGUCGGGCAGAGGAUCCUCAUCGUUUACUGUGAAAAAAUUAGAGUGUUCAAAGCAGGCUUAUGCCGUUGAAUAUAUUAGCAUGGAAUAAUAAGAUAGGACUUUGGUACUAUUUUGUUGGUUUGCGCACCAAAGUAAUGAUUAAUAGGGACAGUUGGGGGUAUUCGUAUUCCGUUGUCAGAGGUGAAAUUCUUGGAUUUACGGAAGACGAACUACUGCGAAAGCAUUUACCAAGGAUGUUUUCAUUAA